GUCGAACGGUAACAGGUCUUCGGAUGCUGACGAGUGGCGAACGGGUGAGUAAUACAUCGGAACGUGCCCGAUCGUGGGGGAUAACGGAGCGAAAGCUUUGCUAAUACCGCAUACGAUCUACGGAUGAAAGCAGGGGACCGCAAGGCCUUGCGCGGACGGAGCGGCCGAUGGCAGAUUAGGUAGUUGGUGGGAUAAAAGCUUACCAAGCCGACGAUCUGUAGCUGGUCUGAGAGGACGACCAGCCACACUGGGACUGAGACACGGCCCAGACUCCUACGGGAGGCAGCAGUGGGGAAUUUUGGACAAUGGGCGAAAGCCUGAUCCAGCCAUGCCGCGUGCAGGAUGAAGGCCUUCGGGUUGUAAACUGCUUUUGUACGGAACGAAAAGCCUCUUUCUAAUAAAGAGAGGUCAUGACGGUACCGUAAGAAUAAGCACCGGCUAACUACGUGCCAGCAGCCGCGGUAAUACGUAGGGUGCGAGCGUUAAUCGGAAUUACUGGGCGUAAAGCGUGCGCAGGCGGUGAUGUAAGACAGAUGUGAAAUCCCCGGGCUCAACCUGGGAACUGCAUUUGUGACUGCAUCGCUGGAGUGCGGCAGAGGGGGAUGGAAUUCCGCGUGUAGCAGUGAAAUGCGUAGAUAUGCGGAGGAACACCGAUGGCGAAGGCAAUCCCCUGGGCCUGCACUGACGCUCAUGCACGAAAGCGUGGGGAGCAAACAGGAUUAGAUACCCUUGGUAGUCCACGCCCUAAAAGGAUGUCAACUGGUUGUUGGGGUCUUCACUGACUCAGUAACG
This 792-nucleotide ribosomal RNA is filed under the name Acidovorax sp. Its description in RNAcentral is "bacterial SSU rRNA". It matches the Rfam family "Bacterial small subunit ribosomal RNA", at positions 61 to 848 of the family's 1533-position model. The record is from RNAcentral. Lineage: Bacteria; Pseudomonadati; Pseudomonadota; Betaproteobacteria; Burkholderiales; Comamonadaceae.